This 253-nucleotide ribosomal RNA is filed under the name uncultured bacterium. Its description in RNAcentral is "partial 16S ribosomal RNA". It matches the Rfam family "Archaeal small subunit ribosomal RNA", at positions 474 to 727 of the family's 1478-position model. The record is from RNAcentral.
UACCAGCACCCCGAGUGGUCGGGACGUUUAUUGGGCCUAAAGCAUCCGUAGCCGGUUCUACAAGUCUUCCGUUAAAUCCAACUGCUUAACAGGUGGGCUGCGGAAGAUACUAUAGAGCUAGGAGGCGGGAGAGGCAAGCGGUACUCGAUGGGUAGGGGUAAAAUCCGUUGAUCCAUUGAAGACCACCAGUGGCGAAGGCGGCUUGCCAGAACGCGCCCGACGGUGAGGGAUGAAAGCUGGGGGAGCAAACCGG